RNAcentral lists this ribosomal RNA (65 nucleotides) under uncultured metazoan. RNAcentral describes it as "partial 18S ribosomal RNA". It matches the Rfam family "Eukaryotic small subunit ribosomal RNA", at positions 1766 to 1830 of the family's 1831-position model. Lineage: Eukaryota; Metazoa. The record is from RNAcentral.
CUGGUCAUUAGAGGAAGUAAAAGUCGUAACAAGGUUUUCGUAGGUGAACCUGCGUAAGGAUCAUU